This 1013-nucleotide ribosomal RNA is filed under the name Colletotrichum taiwanense. RNAcentral's name for it is "partial 18S ribosomal RNA". It matches the Rfam family "Eukaryotic small subunit ribosomal RNA", at positions 51 to 1075 of the family's 1831-position model. The record is from RNAcentral. Lineage: Eukaryota; Fungi; Ascomycota; Sordariomycetes; Glomerellales; Glomerellaceae.
AUGCAUGUCUAAGUAUAAGCAAUUAUACAGCGAAACUGCGAAUGGCUCAUUAUAUAAGUUAUCGUUUAUUUGAUAGUACCUUACUACUUGGAUAACCGUGGUAAUUCUAGAGCUAAUACAUGCUAAAAAUCCCGACUUCGGAAGGGAUGUAUUUAUUAGAUUAAAAACCAAUGCCCUUCGGGGCUCACUGGUGAUUCAUAAUAACUUCUCGAAUCGCAUGGCCUUGCGCCGGCGAUGGUUCAUUCAAAUUUCUUCCCUAUCAACUUUCGAUGCUAGAGUAGUGUUCUAGCAUGGUUACAACGGGUAACGGAGGGUUAGGGCUCGACCCCGGAGAAGGAGCCUGAGAAACGGCUACUACAUCCAAGGAAGGCAGCAGGCGCGCAAAUUACCCAAUCCCGACACGGGGAGGUAGUGACGAUAAAUACUGAUACAGGGCUCUUUUGGGUCUUGUAAUUGGAAUGAGUACAAUUUAAAUCCCUUAACGANNNNNNNNNNNNNNNNNNNNNNNNNNNNNNNNNNNNNNNNNNNNNNAGCUCCAAUAGCGUNUAUUAAAGUUGUUGUGGUUAAAAAGCUCGUAGUAGAACCUUGGGCCUGGCUGGCCGGUCCGCCUCACCGCGUGCACUGGUCCGGCCGGGCCUUUCCCUCUGUGGAACCGCAUGCCCUUCACUGGGUGUGCCGGGGAAACAGGACUUUUACUUUGAAAAAAUUAGAGUGCUCCAGGCAGGCCUAUGCUCGAAUACAUUAGCAUGGAAUAAUAGAAUAGGACGUGUGGUUCUAUUUUGUUGGUUUCUAGGACCGCCGUAAUGAUUAAUAGGGACAGUCGGGGGCAUCAGUAUUCAAUUGUCAGAGGUGAAAUUCUUGGAUUUAUUGAAGACUAACUACUGCGAAAGCAUUUGCCAAGGAUGUUUUCAUUUAUCAGGAACGAAAGUUAGGGGAUCGAAGACGAUCAGAUACCGUCGUAGUCUUAACCAUAAACUAUGCCGACUAGGGAUCGGACGAUGUUAUUUUUUGAC